AGGAUGAACGCUGGCGGCGUGCCUAACACAUGCAAGUCGCACGGGCGCCUUCGGGUGUCAGUGGCGGACGGGUGAGUAACGCGUAGGUAUCUGUCCUUGGGUGGGGGAUAACCGUGGGAAACUGCGGCUAAUACCGCAUGACACCUGUGGGUCAAAGGCGAGAGUCGCCUGGGGAGGAGCCUGCGUACGAUUAGCUUGUUGGUGGGGUAAAGGCCUACCAAGGCGACGAUCGUUAGCUGGUCUGAGAGGAUGAUCAGCCACACUGGGACUGAGACACGGCCCAGACUCCUACGGGAGGCAGCAGUGGGGAAUAUUGGACAAUGGGCGCAAGCCUGAUCCAGCAAUGCCGCGUGGAUGAAGAAGGUUUUCGGAUUGUAAAGUCCUUUCGGCGGGGACGAUGAUGACGGUACCCGCAGAAGAAGCUCCGGCUAACUUCGCGCCAGCAGCCGC
Molecule: ribosomal RNA, 450 nt
Filed under: uncultured bacterium
Lineage: Bacteria
Description: SSU rRNA
Rfam family: Bacterial small subunit ribosomal RNA
Source: RNAcentral